UCAUCGUCAACACCAAAAAGCCAAACAAUGGCAGAUGGUGGAGUUUGAAAAGAAUAAUUGAGACUCUUUGAAUGGUGAUUGAAGUUCAACUGAUACUCAGACCAUGUUGCUUGAAAGAUCCCAAUAAUGAGGUUUUUUAAUACCGGAAACUGUAGAGGGUUCUUUGUUUCCGGCGGUGGAAUGGACGCAUCAAUCACUGGGUUUGAAGAGGGGUUAUCACAUUCAUAGUCAGCCUAGGGUUAGGAUGAAGAUGCAGUGAGAUGACGGCACAGGACAUCUUAAUUUAUGCAAAAAAAUCUGAUUUGUUUCGAUUCAGUAUGGAGACCACUCCACUCCAGUCGAUGAGGUAUUUGAAACGUUGAAAUUACAAAUGAGGGAUUGACGAGUGAAGAAGGGAAUAAGAGGCUUAAUGUAUUGGCCCUAACAAGCUAGAAGAGAACAAGCAAGUCAAGUCUUCUAGGAUUGCUUCGGCAGUUUCAAGGCAAAAGGAUGCUGCUGCUGAGUUGGAUAAAGCACCACAAUGUGAAAGAAGUAUCAAGUGAUGCACAUUUCUUAAAUUAACAAGUGUAGUGUGCAGAUUUAGUUUGUUGUGAUGGGCUUCUUUGGAAAUUCAUGGUGAGCAGUUACCGCCAAACAUCCAGAAAGGAUAUGCAUAAGUUGCUCUGAAUCAGGUUGUCUCAUUUGUUGUUCCACACUCCCAUAGCCAUCUUCUUGUCCUCACAAACAGAUUUCAUAUUGGAUGCUCUAAAUGAUUCAAAGACUGGUGUUGUAGGGUUUCUCUUCAGUUAGCAGGCCCUGUUCAUUACACGACGUUUAUACAAUUGUCGCCCAGCUAAACAUUAUUAAUCAAUGAAUUGUUUAACGUUACCGGAAAUCUGCUAUAGACGCACAUGAAUCGGACAAACCUCAAGUUCAAGAAACGAUUGAAUGUGCUAGGGGUUGAAAUCUUUUCAUGUUGCAAGGAGAUUGUUUAAAUAUGACACAUUACAAGGUGUUCAGAAAGAACGAGUCUUGAGGUUAAUGAACUAGAAAGAACAAAGAAUGACAACAUGAACUACAAUACUCAUAGGACGGUAUCUCUGAUGGAAAAAAAAAGUGACAGUAUGAAGAAUUCCAAUGCUGCUAAGAUGGUACCUCAGAUUUAGCUUCCUUAUUUUAGAGGUGGUCUUAUGUUAACAAAUGAGUCAAAACCAGACAUUUUAGAUGUGGUCAUUAUUUUAAGAAAUGAGUCAAAUGAAGUAAUAUUAUAUCUUCUAACCAGACAGAUGGAAAAUUUCUAAACAGACAAGGUCAAAAGGGCCGAAACCUCAUUUGUAUGCAUAUCCAUGUCCUUUUAUCUAGAUGAUCAUUUAUAUAGUAAAAUGGCACAAGUUGU
This 1375-nucleotide long non-coding RNA is filed under the name Helianthus annuus (common sunflower). RNAcentral's name for it is "hypothetical non coding rna". Lineage: Eukaryota; Viridiplantae; Streptophyta; Magnoliopsida; Asterales; Asteraceae. The record is from RNAcentral.